Molecule: small nuclear RNA, 165 nt
Filed under: Zalophus californianus (California sea lion)
Lineage: Eukaryota; Metazoa; Chordata; Mammalia; Carnivora; Otariidae
Description: U4 spliceosomal RNA (ENSZCAG00015007590.1)
Rfam family: U4 spliceosomal RNA (bases 1-123)
About the family: U4 small nuclear RNA (U4 snRNA) is a component of the major U2-dependent spliceosome.
Source: RNAcentral
AGCUUUGCGCAGUGGCAGUAUCGUAGCCAAUGAGGUUUAUCCGAGGCGCGAUUAUUGCUAAUUGAAAAUUAACCAGUCUAUCUAAGUCGUGUGUGUCUGUGUGUGUGUGUGUUUUAAUAAAAACAAAUACUCUAGCCCUAGAAUUAUGUGUCUACUUCUACUUGU